This 838-nucleotide ribosomal RNA is filed under the name uncultured Methylobacter sp. RNAcentral describes it as "bacterial SSU rRNA". It matches the Rfam family "Bacterial small subunit ribosomal RNA", at positions 46 to 882 of the family's 1533-position model. Lineage: Bacteria; Pseudomonadati; Pseudomonadota; Gammaproteobacteria; Methylococcales; Methylococcaceae. The record is from RNAcentral.
GCUUACACAUGCAAGUCGAACGGUAGCAGGCCUUCGGGUGCUGACGAGUGGCGGACGGGUGAGUAACGCGUAGGAAUCUGCCCUGUAGUGGGGGACAACGUGGGGAAACUCACGCUAAUACCGCAUACGCCCUGAGGGGGAAAGCGGGGGACCUUCGGGCCUCGCGCUAUGGGAUGAGCCUGCGUGGGAUUAGCUAGUUGGUAGGGUAAAGGCCUACCAAGGCGACGAUCCCUAGCCGGCCUGAGAGGGUGGCCGGCCACACUGGGACUGAGACACGGCCCAGACUCCUACGGGAGGCAGCAGUGGGGAAUAUUGGACAAUGGGCGCAAGCCUGAUCCAGCAAUGCCGCGUGUGUGAAGAAGGCCUGAGGGUUGUAAAGCACUUUCAGUGGGGAGGAAAAAGCGAAGGUUAAUACCCUUGGUCUUGACAUUACCCAGAGAAGAAGCACCGGCUAACUCCGUGCCAGCAGCCGCGGUAAUACGGAGGGUGCGAGCGUUAAUCGGAAUUACUGGGCGUAAAGCGUGCGUAGGCGGCUAUUUAAGUCAGAUGUGAAAGCCCCGGGCUUAACCUGGGAACGGCAUUUGAUACUGGGUAGCUAGAGUUUGGUAGAGGGGAGUGGAAUUUCAGGUGUAGCGGUGAAAUGCGUAGAGAUCUGAAGGAACACCAGUGGCGAAGGCGGCUCCCUGGACCAGAACUGACGCUGAGGCACGAAAGCGUGGGUAGCAAACAGGAUUAGAUACCCUGGUAGUCCACGCCGUAAACGAUGCCGACUAGCCGUUGGGUCUUUAAGGAGGCUUGGUGGCGCAGCUAACGCAAUAAGUCGGCCGCCUGGGGAGUA